This 213-nucleotide long non-coding RNA is filed under the name Elaeis guineensis (African oil palm). RNAcentral's name for it is "long non-coding RNA (EGUI_LNC018366)". The record is from RNAcentral. Lineage: Eukaryota; Viridiplantae; Streptophyta; Magnoliopsida; Arecales; Arecaceae.
GGCUUCAACUUCCACUUCCACCUUUUGUUGUUGCUCUUUUUCACUUUUUAAAUAAUUCUCUAGUUUCUGUAGCACCGAACUCCUUUAGAUUUCUGAUAGGAUUUCUUUUCCUCUGUCAUUUAGCUGAAGUCCAACCAACUCUUCUCUUAUUUAGAAACAUUUAUACCUUUAAGCAUCACCCUUCGCCAAAGGACUAGUGGUACUUCUCCCCCC